AGAAUUUAAACUUAAUAUCAUAUUUGUAUGAAAAUCAUGAUGAAUAUUUACAUUCUCUCAAACAGUUUUUAAUUUACUUAGCUAAUAAAGAAGAUGAUGGAUUCCCAAACAGAAAUCUUGAUGACUGAUCAAGGUGAAAAAAUUGAAGAAUUGCAUCAAUUGUACAGAGAAUCGAUUUGCAAGCAGAAACAGGUGCUCAAAGAUAAGGGAAUACAACAGCCAUCCAUGUUCCUUCACACAUAUAAAGGUAUAUAUAUCGUAUAUAAAUAUUGUCUACAUUUUCUGAAUUUAUGAUUUUUAAAAAUCUUUCAAAGAUAAAUGUACAUUGUAAGUCAUGUAAUUCAAAUAUAGAGACGUGCAAUUGUCUUUGAUAAAAGAUAGAGUUACAUGUAUUCCAUUUUAGUGUUAUCAGCUUAUAUACUUGCUUAGCCUUGUUAAAAUCUAUACAUAUACCUUAAAAUAUGUACAUGUAUAAUGAAAUGUGUGUCAGAAUAUAUACAUAUACAUGUAAUCAUAAUGUUUCAAAUAGCCAAACAUUGUAAAAUCUAUAUGUAUUAAGUAUUGGGAAUUCUGUACACCCUUUCCUUUGCUUAGACCAGGUUUAACAAAUAUAAUGUGCAAUGUUCAUUAUAAAUACUAGACUUGCUUGAAAAUAUUUAAAUUCAACUAAUUAUCUCCUCGCAAUACACAUUUAGUUUAGGAACUUUUUAUGUUUUAUGUUGAAGUAAGCAGCUGUUAGCGAUGCUUAUAGGCAUAAACUAUCUAGUCUGGUUCUAUUUUUAAGUAAGCUAUCUAGUGAUUACAUCAAUUCGACAAGACUAGACCGAGUCUUGGGAUAAAUUAAUAGUACUCAUUGUCAUGAUUGUACUAGCUUUUUAUUGUCUUAUAUAUUUUAUGGAAAAUACUGUUAGUUGAGGCCUGGAAAAAUAAAUUUAUAAGGAGAUGAAGUGUGGUUGCCAAUUAGAGUAGAGACAUGUAACAAAUAGCAUGAUUAGAGUCAUGGGGGAUUGAAUUCAUACUCAUUUUACUAAAGUGUCACAAAAUAAUUGCACGAAAAAAAACCAACAACAAAACAUCAAAAUAAUUAUGUAUUUAGUAGAAUUAGCCAAAUCAAACAAUGACUGACUUAAAUUUUGUUUGAAAUUUUUCACAUUUCUAUUGAUUAAAUAUUAUUUUGUACAUGAAAUAAUAAAUAGAUAUAAGGUUAAGUUAAAAGGGCAGUAAUCAAGUUUCAGAUUUUUUGUUGUCGUGCUGAUUGUACUAUUACAAAUACUUCUUAUAUGUCAAAAGAAAACAAAAUUGCUGUACCUAAUAUUGUGAUUUGUAUUGAAAUUGAUCAAGACAACAAACUCAAUAAUGAGCUAUUCCAAUAACAAUCUCCCUAGGGGAAAAAGGGGGUGUUACGUAAUUUUAGACCUCCAUUGUGGCCCAUAGACAUAUCAAACACUCACCAAAAUAUAAGCCUGAACCCCAGAGGAGAUCACACAUCAAAUGAUAAAAGUUGUAUAUAUUCUACACAGUAAGACCAAACAAUUAUAGUAGGAGUUAGUUUUAAAAUAUAAUUGAAAAACUAAACUGCUACAAAUAAAUAAUUUUUUUAAUGUUGAAUAAAUCACAAUGUGUAAUAGUUGUAAUAAAUUGUAAUGCCAGCCUGCAAUAGUAGAGGGGAUUUAUGAUUAAUGAUCCAUGCUUUUUUUUUUGUUCAUCCUUUCAUCUGUUCUGCUUCAGGUUCAAAAAGUGAAAUCACAAAAAUACUGAACUUAGAGGAAAAUCAAUUCGGAAAGUCCAUAAUCACAUGGCAAAAUCUUAUAACAAUACGCAUACAAAACGAAUGGUCAAGAACUGUCAUAUUCCUGACUUGGUACAGGAUUUUCAAAUGUAGAAAAUGUGUAUUAAACCUGGUUUUUUAUUGCGCUAACCUCUCACUUUAAUGACAUCUCAUCAAUUCGUUAUAUAUUUACAUGAGCGUUAACUAAACAGACGCACUGAAAAUAGUCAUCAUCAGUCAUCGUAUAACAAUUUUAAAGGAAAUUAUUUAACAGAACACAAAGACAUCUAUCUACAAACACAUUCAUUGAUUUGUGUGUCUGACGUCAGAAAAGUUAAUACGUCACAUAGAUUUGUCGUUCAAUGUGCAUACCAACAAUUUUAAAAUUUACAUAGGCAAUGUUAGCAAUACAGGGUUAAAAAAUCAAAAGUAUGUAAGAAUAAAUUUCAGAAAUAGACCGAGAUUUAAAAUAGUCCAAAAGUUAUAUAUAGAAUUUAUAAGAAUCCUCAAAUAGUUAAUUCCACUACGCGAUUGAAUGAUUUUGACGUUUAUGGUUCAACGUAAUUUGUAAUUCAUAAUAUACCAAGUUUUGGUAAAGUUUUUGUUCAGGAUAGUUGUUAAUGACCAAUCAACUUAAAAAUAGAUACACAUGUGCCUUAUGUUAUGAUCUUUCUAAUGAUGAAUUAAUGGUUUUGACCCCAAUUUCAUGGUGACAGGUCCUUUGAAAAUAGAAAAUUUAUCACAACUUCUAGCUAUUCUUUUAAUAGAGUUUUUCCACAAGAUAUUUUUGAGUCACUCAUUAGAAUAUUUUUUAAAUAUAUCAUUUGAUUACAACUGCAUGAAGAUAUAAUAAUUGCAUGCAGAAAAUUAUAGCUUUUUGUCACAUAGAUAUUACUAGUCAAUUUAAUAAAAUUAAAAAAAAAAUUUAUUACUGUAUUACAGAAGCUACAAAAUAGAGCUAAGGUCCUUUAAGCCAAGAAACUGCCAGUGUCAGAAGAGGAAAAACUAAGGAAGGCCAUACAAAUUGAUUUAAUGUCAAGUUGGGGACAUUGAUUCUGUAGAUAAACUCGCCUGAUCACAAGGUCCGAGUACUCAGUUAUCGUCCCUUGAUUUUCGUUGUCCACGAAUAUAGUCCCUAGUGUGGACAGUGUGUUACUUGUCAAUUUUUUUGAUACCCCUUCAAAAUUUAUUUCUUCAUGUUUUAUGCCUUAAGUAGCAAGAAUUACACUGUAAACAAUCUGAUUAAUGAAUUAUAAUGUAAAGUAGUGAUUUGGUCCAGUUGAAAAAGGUAAUAAAAUUAGCAUUUCGGAAGCUGUCAAAAGAUUUCAAGACCCCCUUUACAUACAAUUGUCAAUAUUUUGAGUUAGAGCUGAUGAAGUUUUCUAUAAUUUUGAUAAAAUUUGUCCCAAAAGUAGUACAACACACUGUAAAAAUAUUAUUGUGAAAGCGCAGGUGGGAUUUUUUUUUAUUUCCAUUUAUUGUCUAAAAGAAAUGCACUACGAAAUAACUGUGUACUCGGACCACUAGACUGUAAAUACCAGAGACAGCUGAAUGCACAAGGCACAAAGCUGAGGUCCAAGUAAAUCAGACAGGCCUUGUCACAAGAAAUGUACAGAACUUGCAUGGGUUUUUGCUUAAGGACAUAUGACAAAAAAUUGAGAGAUGUCAAUGAAAAUUUCUUUGAAUUUUGAUAAUGGCCAAUUCAAAGGUACACUUUUGGAAUUUGCAAGAACAAAAAUACCUUCAUGUUUACUUUUGAAUUAUAGUUGACAGUUUUCAGUUUAAGGGGAACCUCUGAAAAUAAGUCAAAAGGAGCGGUUUGGUUUUUUGAAUUUGAUUAUUUUUUUUAAAGUAAAACAGAUGAAUUAUUGCUCUUUAAUUUCAACAUUUGCAUUUUACUAUUAGAAUUAUUUACAAGUGUAGCAUAUCGGUGAUAUCAGAUUAUGUUAUUGUGUUUGGUUAAGCUACAUAUUCCUUUUUACUUAGACUUUCUGUUGCCUUUACUAAUUAAUAAAAUACUGAAUAACAAUUUGAGUUUGGCUCAUUUCAGUGUCUGGUAUUUGCUGACAUUUUUUUGCAUGUAAGAUUUCACCAUAUUAUUUAUAAUUUCUUGGCCAAAGGGAGAUAACUGUUUGAAUCUUCGCAUUAAAUAAUCUGCGAAGAAUAUUAUGUAAAAUGUAAAUAGUUGAAAAUUAAUUUUAUUGUUCAAUAAAAUCAAAUAAGUUAUUGACAUUCAUUAUUAAUAAAUUUCUAUCAAAAAUAAGGCUCACACAACUUUUUAUAUUACUUAUAUUAACAAUAACAAUGUACACACAUGUUUAUUGACGUAUUAAUACACAACGUCAGGGUGGGUGUGUCGUCAUAAAAUUUGUAAACAUUGAAAAUAAAACUAAAACUUUUAACUAAUCAGAAGACAGUAAAUACAUCAAAUAUAUUUAUAAACCUAUACAUUUAUUAUUUUCUUCAAUUGUCCAAGUACAUUCAAUAUUGAUAAUAAUUUUUUGUUGAUACAAGUUUAUUUGUGUGCUAUUUUAUUCAAUUGUACAUAUUUGAAAUAUAACAUUACAC
RNAcentral lists this long non-coding RNA (4336 nucleotides) under Mytilus galloprovincialis (Mediterranean mussel). Lineage: Eukaryota; Metazoa; Mollusca; Bivalvia; Mytilida; Mytilidae. The record is from RNAcentral.